This 494-nucleotide ribosomal RNA is filed under the name uncultured bacterium. Its description in RNAcentral is "partial 16S ribosomal RNA". It matches the Rfam family "Bacterial small subunit ribosomal RNA", at positions 28 to 507 of the family's 1533-position model. The record is from RNAcentral.
GACGAACGCUGGCGGCGUGCUUAACACAUGCAAGUCGAACGGAAAGGCCUGCUUUCCCUUGUGGAUUGCGGGUACUCGAGUGGCGAACGGGUGAGUAACACGUGAGUGAUCUGCCCCCAACUUGGGUAUAAGCCUGGGAAACUGGGUCUAAUUCCCGAUAGGACUGCAGGGUGGUGCCUGUGGUGGAAAACGAUUUUCUAGUGGUUGGGGAUGAGCUCGCGGCCUAUCAGCUUGUUGGUGGGGUAAUGGCCUACCAAGGCGGCGACGGGUAGCCGGCCUGAGAGGGUGGACGGCCCCAUUGGGACUGAGAUACGGCCCAGACUCCUACGGGAGGCAGCAGUGGGGAAUAUUACACAAUGGGCGGAAGCCUGAUGCAGCGACGCCGCGUGGGGGAUGACGGCCUUCGGGUUGUAAACUCCUUUCGACCGCGAGGAAGCCACCUGGUUGGAAGGGUGGUGACGGUAGUGGUAGAAGAAGCACCGGCUAACUACGUG